UGGGGAAUAUUGCACAAUGGGCGAAAGCCUGAUGCAGCAACGCCGCGUGAGUGAUGAAGGCCUUCGGGUUGUAAAGCUCUGUCUUUUGGGACGAUAAUGACGGUACCAAAGGAGGAAGCCACGGCUAACUACGUGCCAGCAGCCGCGGUAAUACGUAGGUGGCAAGCGUUGUCCGGAUUUACUGGGCGUAAAGGAUGCGUAGGCGGAUUUUUAAGUGAGAUGUGAAAAACCCUAAGCUUAACUUGGGGACUGCAUUUCAUACUGGAAAUCUAGAGUGCGGGAGAGGAGAAUGGAAAUUCCUAGUGUAGCGGUGAAAAUGCGUAGAGAUUAGGAAGAAACACCAGUGGCGAAGGCGAUUCUCUGGACCGUAAACUGACGCUGAGGCAUGAAAAGCGUGGGUAGCAAAACAGGAUUAGAUACCCUGGUAGUCCACGCCGUAAAACGAUGAGUACUAGGUGUAGGAGGUAUCGACCCCUUCUGUGCCGCAGUUAACACAAUAAGUACUCCGCCUGGGAAGUACGAUCGCAAGAUUAAAAAACUUAAAAUGAAAUUGACGGGGGUCAUAGCUGUUUUCCU
Molecule: ribosomal RNA, 576 nt
Filed under: uncultured bacterium
Lineage: Bacteria
Description: partial 16S ribosomal RNA
Rfam family: Bacterial small subunit ribosomal RNA
Source: RNAcentral